Molecule: ribosomal RNA, 300 nt
Filed under: uncultured Ferroglobus sp.
Lineage: Archaea; Methanobacteriati; Methanobacteriota; Archaeoglobi; Archaeoglobales; Archaeoglobaceae
Description: bacterial SSU rRNA
Rfam family: Bacterial small subunit ribosomal RNA
Source: RNAcentral
GAGAAACCGGGGUCAGCGGCGGCGGUAAGGACGGGGGGGCGGACGGUAAGCGGUGUUAAUUGGCGGAAAGGGCGCGGAGGCGGGUAGAUAAGAUUGAUGUGAAAUCCCUGGGCUUAACCUAGGAACUGCAUCGAGGUCUGUGGGACUGGAGUACUGUAGAGGGUAGUGGAAUUUCCGGUGUAGCGGUGAAAUGCGUAGAGAUCGGAAGGAACACCAGUGGCGAAGGCGGCUACCUGGACAGAUACUGACGCUGAGGCGCGAGAGCGUGGGGAGCAAACAGGAUUAGAUACCCGAGUAGUC